Molecule: ribosomal RNA, 492 nt
Filed under: uncultured bacterium
Lineage: Bacteria
Description: partial 16S ribosomal RNA
Rfam family: Bacterial small subunit ribosomal RNA
Source: RNAcentral
GAUGAACGCUAGCUACAGGCUUAACACAUGCAAGUCGAGGGGAAACGGCAUUGAGUGCUUGCACUCUUUGGACGUUGACCGGCGCACGGGUGAGUAACGCGUAUCCAACCUUCCCAUUACUGUGGGAUAACCUGCCGAAAGGCAGACUAAUACCGCAUAGUCUUCGAUGACGGCAUCAGAUUUGAAGUAAAGAUUUAUCGGUAAUGGAUGGGGAUGCGUCUGAUUAGCUUGUUGGCGGGGUAACGGCCCACCAAGGCUACGAUCAGUAGGGGUUCUGAGAGGAAGGUCCCCCACAUUGGAACUGAGACACGGUCCAAACUCCUACGGGAGGCAGCAGUGAGGAAUAUUGGUCAAUGGACGGAAGUCUGAACCAGCCAAGUAGCGUGCAGGAUGACGGCCCUAUGGGUUGUAAACUGCUUUUGUAUGGGGAUAAAGUUAGGGACGUGUCCCUAUUUGCAGGUACCAUACGAAUAAGGACCGGCUAAUUCCGUG